RNAcentral lists this ribosomal RNA (2151 nucleotides) under Triticum aestivum (bread wheat). RNAcentral's name for it is "partial small subunit ribosomal RNA". The record is from RNAcentral. Lineage: Eukaryota; Viridiplantae; Streptophyta; Magnoliopsida; Poales; Poaceae.
AUGCAGCCACUCCAUUUUCCAUACAUGGAGUACAGCAGAAAAUUAACUUUCUUUGCCCUUGUGCUGCUGAUCUCCUUGGCCUCUCCCAUCAGUUCUUGCACAGAGAAAGAGAAGGGGUCCCUCCUGCAGUUCCUCAGUGGUCUGUCGUCGGACGGUGGCCUCACCGCGUCCUGGAAGCAGAACGGCGCAGACUGCUGCGAAUGGGAAGGGGUCACCUGUGGCGAGGAUGGGGCAGUCACAGGUGUCUCAUUGGCUUUGAAGGGCCUUGAGGGGCGCAUAACACCGUCCCUCGGUAACCUUGUUGGCCUUCUGCGCCUCAACCUGUCCCACAAUUCGCUGUCGGGUGGCCUGCCACUGGAACUGGUGUCGUCCGGUAGCAUCAUCGUCCUUGAUGUCAGCUUCAACCGCCUCGGAGGAGACAUGCAAGAGCUGCCAUCUUCAACCCCAUCACGACCUCUUCAGGUACUGAACAUCUCAAGCAACUUGUUCACAGGACGGUUUCCAUCAUCCACCACCUGGGAGGUGAUGGACAAUCUGGUUGUGCUCAACGCCAGCAAUAACAGCUUCACUGGGCAAAUACCGGAUAAUUUCUGCAGCAGCUCGUCAUUGUUAGCUGUAGUUGAGCUCUGUUACAACCAAUUUACAGGCGUCAUCCCUCCUGGACUUGGUAACUGCUCCAUGCUCAGAGUGCUCAAGGCUGGACACAACAACCUCCGCGGGACUCUCCCAAAUGAACUCUUUGAUGCUUCCUUACUGGAAUACCUCUCACUUCCUAGCAAUGUUCUGGAUGGAGUGCUCGACGGUGCUCAGAUAAUCAAGCUCAGCAAUCUGGUUACGCUAGACCUUGGAAGGAAUAAUUUCAGCGGCAAGAUUCCGGAUUCCAUAGGUGAGCUCGAGAGCCUAGAAGAGUUGCAUUUGGACUACAACAACAUGUCAGGGGAGCUGCCGUCAGCCCUGAGUAACUGCACAAAUCUGAUAACAAUUAACUUCAAGAGCAACAACCUCAGUGGAGAACUUAGCAAGGUCAACUUCUCCACCCUGCCUAGGCUGAAAACUCUAGAUAUUCUGUACAACAACUUUAAUGGCAGAGUUCCAGAAAGUUUGUAUACCUGCAGCAAUCUGACUGCAUUGCGGCUAUCUGGCAACAACUUACAUGGGCAGCUCUCACCAAGAAUAGGUGAUCUGAAGCACCUCACCUUCCUUUCACUUGCUAUGAACUCUUUCACAAACAUCACAAAUGCGCUUCACAUUCUUCAGAGGUGCACCAACCUUACCACCCUACUUAUGGGAAGCAGCUUCAGGGGCGAAUUAAUGCCAGAGGAUGGCUUCAUUGAUGGUUUUGAGAAUCUCCAGGUUCUUUCCUUAAAUGAUUGCUCGUUGCUAGGUAAAAUACCUCUUUGGAUAUCCAAGCUAGCAAAACUAGAGAUGUUGAUACUAUCAGGAAAUCAACUCACCGGAUCAACACCAGCCUGGAUCGAAGGCCUAAAGCACCUCUUCUAUCUAGACAUAUCAAACAACAGCCUCACUGGAGAAAUUCCAAGAAGCCUGAUGGAUAUGCAAAUGUUGCAGUCAGAGAAGACUAAAGCCCGUUUAGACCCAAGGAUCUUCGAACUACCAGUUUAUAGGGGUCCAUCACUUCAGUACCGCAUACCCAUUGCUUUCGCCAAAGUGCUGGAUCUAAGCAACAAUAAAUUAACUGGUGAGAUCCCUUCGGAGAUCGGCCAGCUGAAAUCCCUUGUUUCCCUCAAUUUGAGCUUCAAUGCCCUAACAGGACAGAUCCCAAUAUCUGUAUGCAAUCUCACAAACCUGCAGGUACUAGACUUCUCUAGCAACAAUCUCAUUGGUGCAAUCCCAGAUGCAUUGAACAGACUGAACUUCCUUUCAGCAUUCAACAUUUCUUACAAUGACCUAGAAGGUCCUAUCCCAUCCGGAGGUCAGUUUAACACAUUCCAAAAUUCUAGCUUCGAUGGGAAUCCAAAGCUCUGUGGCUCUAUGCUCACUCACAAAUGUGGUCCAGCUUCAACACGUCCACCCACCGCUAUGGCAACCAAACAAACUGACUACAAGGCCGCCUUCGCGAUUGCCUUCAGCGCGUUCUUUGGUGUAGGGGUGUUGUAUGAUCAGCUAGUAUUAUCAAGGUUUUUUGGCUAG